CGAGCAGCACAGAUGAUCGCGCCGCUUUGGCGGUGAGGAAAGUCCGGGCUAUACAGGGCAGGGUGCCGGAUAACGUCCGGUGGAGGCGACUCCAAGGCCAGUGCAACAGAAAAGAAACCGCCGCGCAUGGGCUUGUCUCAUGGCGGUAAGGGUGGAAUGGCAGUGUAAGAGACUACCGCCUUUCUGGUAACAGAAAGGGCUGUGUAAACCCCACUCAUAGCAAGACCAGACAGAAGGCGAUACGGCGGCCCGUCGUGCCUUCGGGUAGGCCGCGUUUUCGGUGCGGAAGCGCCGGAAGGAGCUGCAUGGCAACAUGCAGUCAAGAAAGAUGAUCAUCGAAUACAGAACCCGGCUUAUAGUGUUACUCAGAUG
RNAcentral lists this RNase P RNA (372 nucleotides) under Lachnospiraceae bacterium. RNAcentral describes it as "RNase P RNA component class A". It matches the Rfam family "Bacterial RNase P class A". From Rfam's summary of the family: Ribonuclease P (RNase P) is a ubiquitous endoribonuclease, found in archaea, bacteria and eukarya as well as chloroplasts and mitochondria. Its best characterised activity is the generation of mature 5'-ends of tRNAs by cleaving the 5'-leader elements of precursor-tRNAs. Lineage: Bacteria; Bacillati; Bacillota; Clostridia; Lachnospirales; Lachnospiraceae. The record is from RNAcentral.